UACGUAGGGGCCUAGCGUUGUCCGGAUUUAUUGGGCGUAAAGAGCUCGUAGGCGGUUUGGUGAGUCGGGUGUGAAAUCUCCACGCUCAACGUGGAGGGGCCACCCGAUACUGCCAUGACUAGAGUCCGGUAGGGGAGUGUGGAAUUCCCGCUGUAGCGGUGAAAUGCGCAGAUAUCAAGAGGAACACCUGCGGCGAAGGCGGGUUGCUGGGCUGACACUGACGCUGAAGCGCGAAAGCUAGGGGAGCGAACGGG
This 254-nucleotide ribosomal RNA is filed under the name uncultured bacterium. RNAcentral's name for it is "partial 16S ribosomal RNA". It matches the Rfam family "Bacterial small subunit ribosomal RNA", at positions 524 to 776 of the family's 1533-position model. The record is from RNAcentral.